Molecule: non-coding RNA, 30 nt
Filed under: Mus musculus (house mouse)
Lineage: Eukaryota; Metazoa; Chordata; Mammalia; Rodentia; Muridae
Also listed under: 1 other name
Source: RNAcentral
UUGUUCACAUGACACUGGAAACCUGUGCCC